CAGUAAGGUGGCUGCACCGCUGUCCAAGACCAAUGAGAUUGUCAUCCUGAGUGGAGAGGGCAGCCGCGUGACUGGAGAGGUGACCCGUCUACUAGCUGAACUCCCCGUGUCUGUCAACGCCCUCACCGGGGUGGAUCUGACUAAGAUCCCUGCGCUCCAGAAGAUGAUGGGCCCACAGUGCCAAACAGCCAUCUGAUGAAUCAGGCCAGAGCCUCGUUACUCUGAAUCCUUCCACAUAUAUCUGCCUCAAGCAUGAAAAGAGUUUUUUCAGCCUCUGACCCCUUAUGCAACUGCCUUUGACCAGAAACACUUGACACCAACCAAGAAGUUUUUAUAUUUUUAAGAGGUUUUUAAUUUUCUAAAGGAAAAAAAAGCUGGGGCCUUACUUCUAAAGGACCAGAUUAUAUGUUUUGUUUUUAGUUGUAGAUACAUUGAUCCUUAUCACACUGCACUAGUUAGCCAGGAUUAUAUGCUGCCAUCCUCUCCAGUCGGCCCACUUUGAAUGUGGUGGUGUUAGAUAAAGUUUUUGGAGGGAGAAGCCUCCAGUCUUCAGUGCUGGAAAGAGUCCAAAACACAACGGCCAAAUCUUGAUAUUGUUCUCCAGAGCUGUUUAAGUUUCUGCCUGGAGUUUGGAGUGCACCACCUCCCUGUCAGGUGUAUUCACCGUUGGGAGCAGCUCCCGCCUCUUCAUCCUCCAACUGUCAUCCAAUGCUCAGCGCCCAGUUAGUGAUGUACCUCGCAGUAGACUGAGCCCAGUGUGAUGGGCAGCUUUUAUUUUUCCUUUGCCUUUAUGCUUUCAUAGAUUAGUUAACUCUAACUCAGAGAGAUCUCGAUGGAUUACCAAACCGCUGUUACACAUACCAGAUCUUCACCCACUGUGAUUGUAAAAUUUAUUAUGGUAUCAGUACUAUCUGAAUCACUUGUAUGAUAAUUCUUACCUCUGUCAUGUUGCCUGUCUUCUCUUUCUGAUGUGCAGUGCCUGUUCACCACUCAAGUGCCCAUACCUUAGGACAGUAAGUGGUUUGGCUUUAGUUGGAUUUAUGUCACAAUCACUAUAUAUAUAUAAAUAUAUCACUGUAUGUCACACAGUAUAUCGCUGUGUUAUAGCUGGAUUAAGUUUUAAUAUCGCUCUUGUAACAUCUGCUUGUACUAACAACAGUGUUUACUCUUCACUUUUGUCGCAUGUUUGGACUCAUAGGCCACGAUACACACAAAGCCAUACUUAGAGAAGUUUAGCCUUAAAGAAGAAACCCUGGACGCCUGCCGGGCUUACCGGACAUUUCUUUAUAACUCGAGUGGUAAUCGUUCAGGGUCUGAGCUUUAAUCCAUUUUGUUACUCCUCUCUGUCUCUUUACUCCUCCUGAGAUGAACUGUCAGUCCUCCUCCUACUCAGAUACUGUCACAUGUUGCUCCAAUGUUGUUUUGAAAUAUUUUGUAGACUACAGUCAUGGAUGGAUUAUUAAAUGAGCCACCCGGGCAAAGGCCUAAGGGCCCAAAGGGUCAGGGGGCCCUGGGGCCAGACACUCUGUUUGAAGUGACUGUUGACACACCUUAGGAGCCGUCCACAUCAAGAACAAUAAUAAUAUGAGCAUCAACACUGAUGAACAAUAAAGUUAUGUAAACACUGGUGCCAAACGCUGCACGCCCCAGCUGUGACACCCUGUAAAUUCAGGUGGAUUUGAUUUUGACCGGCUGUCUGUGUUCGCUCUGAAAGUGAUCCAGACUGUCACUUUCGUUAAAGUUGUGGUGUGGCCUACACCAUCCACUUGAGUUAGAACCAUUUUUAGUUAUCAUUCUCAGUGUGGACGGCCCUUUAUUGGAAAGAAAAAUCAGACAACCUCAAAGACAUACCAACUGAUUGCAAAGAGACAGAAAACAACAAAAAAGGAACAACACAUCCAUAAAGAGACAUAAAACAACCACAUAGAGAUGUAAAAUGACUAUAAAGGAACACAACACAACCACAAAGACAUAAAACGACUAUAAAGGAACACAACACAACCACAAAGAGACGUAAAACCACCACAUAGACAUAAACAGGGUUCCCACGAAAUUCCUUGAAAAGUUAUGAAAUGAUUAAGGCCUGGAAAUUGUUUGGAAAUAACAAUGUUUUGGAAAGGUGUUGAAUACACAUUAUGUUGGCUGUUUAACAUAUGUUCAUAAACAUGUCUAACAUUACAUGUACAUGUUCCUUGUAUUACGGAUUUAAAAUGUAGUGCUGCGCUGCAUGACUGUUGAAACGUCACUAGUAUCAUGUGAUACACGCUCCCUUUUGGGGGAAAGAAGCACAAAAAGUACCCGUAUGUGCGAGUCAGCUCUAUUGGCAUCAUCUGCAGCUAGGCAGUGGCUUGAAUGUCUAAUAAGUGAGUAAAGUUGGCAAGUGCUAGCAGUUAACUUAUCUGCAAAUGCCAGGAAAGGGCGUGUUUGAUAGUGUAUGGCUGUAUCAGGACACAUUUUACUUCAAAUCAUGGAUAUGGGGUUAAAUAUUGUGUUGAAAGUGUGGGAACCCUGCAUACAAACAACCACAAAGACACACUUCACGACUAGAAACUAUGUUUUUGUCUCUUUCAGUGUGGGGGUCUUGCUCCUUUGUAGAAGGAGUGUGUUCGUGUGUUGUUGUUUUUUCCAUGUCUGCACCCGGGGACCCAUUUUCUCGUAAUCUGUCCAUCACUAUAUACAUAUUUUAUAACUUUAAACAGUAACAUCCCCCUCACAUCUUCAGUUUGAAAGUUGUCACCAAAUCUGUGAUGACAAAGCAGGAAUAUAAUGUUACAUUCAGUCAGUCCGUGCCUCAGUAAGUUGCAGGAUAAUUGAGGUGUGACAAGGGGGUUUGUCUUCAGUUUGGUAGAUGUUAAUCGAGUGGUUGGACCAAUGACUCUUUUUUCAGCUCUCAUUUCUUCUCUUCAGUCGAAUUACCACACGUAGUCUGUUACAAUCAUUUAACUGUUGAAAGCCAGAUGACAAAGUGAUGGCUCAGUGUUACAUGAUCAAUUGUGACAUGAGGACAGUGUGCAACAAGUUUCAACCUCUAGAUGGCAGGAUUUAAACCCAAAUGAGCCUUUUGUUGCUGCUGUUAUAAAUUUUUAUUACUUUUAUUUUCAUACCUGUGUUGUUUAACUAUUUCAUCCAGGCUGCCCUGUUUUAAUUUCCUGUUUUAAUCACUUUGUGAAUUAUCUUUAACCACUUUACAGAAUCUGUGACCUUUAAAUAUAUUGUUUCUAUUUUGCCACUGACCGUUAUCAAACAAAAGUUUUCAUAGUCGCACCGUUUUCUUAAUUUUCUGUGAAUAAACAUGUGGCUUGUUUGGUCUGAGCAAAUUUCA
Non-coding RNA from Epinephelus lanceolatus (giant grouper), 3322 nucleotides. The record is from RefSeq and is a predicted model, not a curated record. NCBI's taxonomy places the organism in Eukaryota, Metazoa, Chordata, Actinopteri, Perciformes, Serranidae.